This 704-nucleotide ribosomal RNA is filed under the name uncultured Pseudomonadota bacterium. Its description in RNAcentral is "bacterial SSU rRNA". It matches the Rfam family "Bacterial small subunit ribosomal RNA", at positions 56 to 780 of the family's 1533-position model. The record is from RNAcentral. Lineage: Bacteria; Pseudomonadati; Pseudomonadota.
UGCAGUCGAACGAGAAAGCUUCUUCGGAAGUGAUUAGAGUGGCGCACGGGUGAGUAACGCGUAGACAAUCUGCCCUUCAGUCCGGGACAACUUUCCGAAAGGGGAGCUAAUACCGGAUAACAAUGUUUGACAUAAGUUGAAUAUUUGAAAGCUCCGGCGCUGAUGGAUGAGUCUGCGUCCCAUUAGCUUGUUGGUGCGGUAGUGGCGCACCAAGGCCGCGAUGGGUAGCGGGUUUGAGAGGACGAUCCGCCACACUGGAACUGAGACACGGUCCAGACUCCUACGGGAGGCAGCAGUGGGGAAUAUUGCACAAUGGAGGAAACUCUGAUGCAGCAAUGCCGCGUGAGUGAAGAAGGCCCUUGGGUCGUAAAGCUCUUUUAUGGGGGAAGAUGAUGACGGUACCCCAGGAAUAAGCACCGGCUAACUACGUGCCAGCAGCCGCGGUAAUACGUAGGGUGCGAGCGUUGUUCGGAAUUACUGGGCGUAAAGGGCGCGCAGGCGGAGAUGCAAGUCGGAGGUGAAAGCCCGGGGCUCAACCCCGGAGGGUCUUUCGAAACUGCAUCUCUAGAGAGGGUCAGGGGCCGGCAGAAUUCCUGGUGUAGAGGUGAAAUUCGUAGAUAUCAGGAGGAAUACCGGUGGCGAAAGCGGCCGGCUGGGGCCACUCUGACGCUGAGGCGCGAAAGCGUGGGGAGCAAACAGGAUUA